This 493-nucleotide ribosomal RNA is filed under the name uncultured bacterium. RNAcentral describes it as "partial 16S ribosomal RNA". It matches the Rfam family "Bacterial small subunit ribosomal RNA", at positions 28 to 506 of the family's 1533-position model. The record is from RNAcentral.
GACGAACGCUGGCGGCGUGCUUAACACAUGCAAGUCGAACGGUGAAGCGCCUUCCUUUUUGGUGGGUGUGGAUGAGUGGCGAACGGGUGAGUAACACGUGAGUAACCUGCCCCCUUCUUCUGGAUAACCGCAUGAAAGUGUGGCUAAUACGGGAUAUUCUGGGUCUGUCGCAUGAUGGGUCUGGGAAAGAUAUUGUUUCGGUGGGGGAUGGGCUCGCGGCCUAUCAGCUUGUUGGUGGGGUGAUGGCCUACCAAGGCGGUGACGGGUAGCCGGCCUGAGAGGGUGGACGGUCACACUGGGACUGAGACACGGCCCAGACUCCUACGGGAGGCAGCAGUGGGGAAUAUUGCACAAUGGGCGCAAGCCUGAUGCAGCGACGCCGCGUGAGGGAUGGAGGCCGUCGGGUUGUGAACCUCUUUCGCCAGUGAAGCAGGCCUGCCUCGUUUGUGGGUGGGUUGACGGUAGCUGGAUAAGAAGCGCCGGCUAACUACGU